Molecule: ribosomal RNA, 1372 nt
Filed under: uncultured bacterium
Lineage: Bacteria
Description: bacterial SSU rRNA
Rfam family: Bacterial small subunit ribosomal RNA
Source: RNAcentral
GAUGAACGCUGGCGGCGUGCCUAAUACAUGCAAGUCGAGCGAACGGACGAGAAGCUUGCUUCUCUGAUGUUAGCGGCGGACGGGUGAGUAACACGUGGAUAACCUACCUAUAAGACUGGGAUAACUUCGGGAAACCGGAGCUAAUACCGGAUAAUAUUUUGAACCGCAUGGUUCAAAAGUGAAAGACGGUCUUGCUGUCACUUAUAGAUGGAUCCGCGCUGCAUUAGCUAGUUGGUAAGGUAACGGCUUACCAAGGCAACGAUGCAUAGCCGACCUGAGAGGGUGAUCGGCCACACUGGAACUGAGACACGGUCCAGACUCCUACGGGAGGCAGCAGUAGGGAAUCUUCCGCAAUGGGCGAAAGCCUGACGGAGCAACGCCGCGUGAGUGAUGAAGGUCUUCGGAUCGUAAAACUCUGUUAUUAGGGAAGAACAUAUGUGUAAGUAACUGUGCACAUCUUGACGGUACCUAAUCAGAAAGCCACGGCUAACUACGUGCCAGCAGCCGCGGUAAUACGUAGGUGGCAAGCGUUAUCCGGAAUUAUUGGGCGUAAAGCGCGCGUAGGCGGUUUUUUAAGUCUGAUGUGAAAGCCCACGGCUCAACCGUGGAGGGUCAUUGGAAACUGGAAAACUUGAGUGCAGAAGAGGAAAGUGGAAUUCCAUGUGUAGCGGUGAAAUGCGCAGAGAUAUGGAGGAACACCAGUGGCGAAGGCGACUUUCUGGUCUGUAACUGACGCUGAUGUGCGAAAGCGUGGGGAUCAAACAGGAUUAGAUACCCUGGUAGUCCACGCCGUAAACGAUGAGUGCUAAGUGUUAGGGGGUUUCCGCCCCUUAGUGCUGCAGCUAACGCAUUAAGCACUCCGCCUGGGGAGUACGACCGCAAAGUUGAAACUCAAAGGAAUUGACGGGGACCCGCACAAGCGGUGGAGCAUGUGGUUUAAUUCGAAGCAACGCGAAGAACCUUACCAAAUCUUGACAUCCUUUGACAACUCUAGAGAUAGAGCUUUCCCCUUCGGGGGACAAAGUGACAGGUGGUGCAUGGUUGUCGUCAGCUCGUGUCGUGAGAUGUUGGGUUAAGUCCCGCAACGAGCGCAACCCUUAAGCUUAGUUGCCAUCAUUAAGUUGGGCACUCUAAGUUGACUGCCGGUGACAAACCGGAGGAAGGUGGGGAUGACGUCAAAUCAUCAUGCCCCUUAUGAUUUGGGCUACACACGUGCUACAAUGGACAAUACAAAGGGCAGCGAAACCGUGAGGUCAAGCAAAUCCCAUAAAGUUGUUCUCAGUUCGGAUUGUAGUCUGCAACUCGACUACAUGAAGCUGGAAUCGCUAGUAAUCGUAGAUCAGCAUGCUACGGUGAAUACGUUCCCGGGUCU